RNAcentral lists this ribosomal RNA (253 nucleotides) under uncultured bacterium. RNAcentral's name for it is "partial 16S ribosomal RNA". It matches the Rfam family "Bacterial small subunit ribosomal RNA", at positions 524 to 776 of the family's 1533-position model. The record is from RNAcentral.
UACGAAGGGGGCUAGCGUUGCUCGGAAUUACUGGGCGUAAAGGGAGCGUAGGCGGAUAGUUAAGUCAGAGGUGAAAGCCCAGGGCUCAACCUUGGAAUUGCCUUUGAUACUGGCUAUCUUGAGUAUGGGAGAGGUGUGUGGAACUCCGAGUGUAGAGGUGAAAUUCGUAGAUAUUCGGAAGAACACCAGUGGCGAAGGCGACACACUGGCCCAUUACUGACGCUGAGGCUCGAAAGCGUGGGGAGCAAACAGG